ACGGGAGGCAGCAGUGGGGAAUAUUGGACAAUGGGGGAACCCUGAUGCAGCAACGCCACGUGUGGGAAGAAGCAUUUCGGUGUGUAAACCACUGUCGUGAGGGAAUAAUGCUUGAUUUCGGUCAAGUUGAAUGUACCUCGAAAGGAAGCACCGGCAAACUUCGUGCCAGCAGCCGCGGUAAUACGAGGGGUGCAAGCGUUGUUCGGAAUCACUGGGCGUAAAGGGAGCGUAGGCGGAGACGCAAGCAGUCUGUACAAGACCGGGGCCCAACCCCGGACCUGCAGACCGGACUGCUCCUCUUGGAUAGUUCAGGGGCAGGCGGAGUUCCUGGUGUAGCGGUGGAAUGCGUAGAGAUCAGGAAGAACACCGAUGGCGAAGGCAGCCUGCUGGGGACUCAUCGACGCUGAGGCUCGAAAGUGCGGGUAGCAAACAGGAUUAGAUACCCUGGUA
RNAcentral lists this ribosomal RNA (450 nucleotides) under uncultured Fibrobacter sp. Its description in RNAcentral is "bacterial SSU rRNA". It matches the Rfam family "Bacterial small subunit ribosomal RNA", at positions 341 to 792 of the family's 1533-position model. Lineage: Bacteria; Pseudomonadati; Fibrobacterota; Fibrobacteria; Fibrobacterales; Fibrobacteraceae. The record is from RNAcentral.